AGAGCGAACGCUGGCGGCAGGCUUAACACAUGCAAGUCGAGCGGGCGUAGCAAUACGUCAGCGGCAGACGGGUGAGUAACGCGUGGGAACAUACCUUUUGGUUCGGAACAACACAGGGAAACUUGUGCUAAUACCGGAUAAGCCCUUACGGGGAAAGAUUUAUCGCCGAAAGAUUGGCCCGCGUCUGAUUAGCUAGUUGGUGAGGUAACGGCUCACCAAGGCGACGAUCAGUAGCUGGUCUGAGAGGAUGAUCAGCCACAUUGGGACUGAGACACGGCCCAGACUCCUACGGGAGGCAGCAGUGGGAAUCUGCGCAAUGCGCGAAAGCGUGACGCAGCAACGCCGCGUGGGGGAAGAAGGCUUUCGGGUUGUAAACCCCUUUCAGUUGGGACGAAGCUUCUCCGGUGAAUAGCCGGAUGGAGUGACGGUACCUUCACAAGAAGCACCGGCUAACUACGCGCCAGCAGCCGCGGUAA
This 476-nucleotide ribosomal RNA is filed under the name uncultured bacterium. RNAcentral's name for it is "SSU rRNA". It matches the Rfam family "Bacterial small subunit ribosomal RNA", at positions 26 to 523 of the family's 1533-position model. The record is from RNAcentral.